CCGUGGAGGGCACUUUCCCAGUCCCCGAGGCGGAUCCGGUGUUGCAUCCUUGGAGAGAGCUGAGAGCUGGAGUACAGAACCUGCUAAGGCCAUCAAACCUAUUGAUCGGAAGUCAGUCCAUCAGAUUUGCUCUGGGCAGGUGGUACUGAGUCUAAGCACUGCGGUGAAGAAGAUAGUAGAAAACAGUCUGGAUGCUGGUGCCACUAAUAUUGUGAUGUCACCAUUUCUACCUGCCACGUAUCGGCGAAGGUUGGGACUCGACUGGUGUUUGAUCACGAUGGGAAAAUCAUCCAGAAAACCCCCUACCCCCACCCCAGAGGGACCACAGUCAGCGUGAAGCAGUUAUUUUCUACGCUACCUGUGCGCCAUAAGGAAUUUCAAAGGAAUAUUAAGAAGCCUCCAAUUUACAGUCUAAAACAUGUACGCGGUGGCCCUGAGCUGUUGUGUAAAUGGACUCACUGCCCUGAGGCCACCAUGCUGCAAGGAAGCCCAAGCUAACCCUAGGAUGUGCCCUGAGACGACAUGAAGACGCAUCCCCAGCCAGCCUUCCACUACCCCAUCCUUCACUGCCCCAUUCUCACCCCCGCCCACCUCCUUACUCCCUCCACCCCUCCACCUGCCUCCAGCCAGAAUUGCACAGCCAGCUACUUCCAGAAUCGCUGGUCCAAAGAAAUCACGACAGGCGCUAAGUUUGGGGCAAUCCAUUUAAUGCUACUAAGUUGUGGGAUGGUUUGUUUGAGCAGCCCCAGAUAACAAACAUUCCUUGAGGUCACAUGCUAACCAAGCUGUGAUUCGAACACUGCCUCUCAAAUUCACGAGCAAAAGAGGGGGAAUUCUGUUUGAAAUGCCAAAAAGAACUCUUUCUUGCUUUUAUUAUUUUUAAUUUAUGUAUAAUAAUUGUAUGUUUAUAUAAUAAUUGUAAUAAUUUACGGGAUACAGGUGAUAUUUCAAUAUAUGUAUGCAAUGUGUAAUGAUCACAUCAGGGUGAUUAGCGGAUUCAUUUCCUCAGUUAUCAUUUCUUUGUGUUGGGAACAUUCAAAAUCUGCUCUUCUACCUAUUUGAAUAUAGAAAAUAAAUUGUUUUGUUUUGUUUUUGA
RNAcentral lists this long non-coding RNA (1096 nucleotides) under Homo sapiens (human). RNAcentral's name for it is "long non-coding RNA NONHSAT121494.2". The record is from RNAcentral. Lineage: Eukaryota; Metazoa; Chordata; Mammalia; Primates; Hominidae.